GACGAACGCUGGCGGUGUGCUUAACACAUGCAAGUGGUGCGACGAACCAGAGCUUGCUCUGGGGCAAAGCCGCGAACGGGUGAGUAACACGUGGGUAAUCUACCCCGAUGACCGGGACAACCCGAGGAAACUCGGGCUAAUACCGGAUGUGGUACGGAGACAUAAGUCUCUUUACUAAAGGUAGCUUCGGCUUCCGCAUUGGGAGGGGCCCGCGGCCCAUUAGCUAGUUGGUGGGGUCAAGGCCUACCAAGGCAACGAUGGGUAGCUGGUCUGAGAGGACGAUCAGCCACACUGGGACUGAGACACGGCCCAGACUCCUACGGGAGGCAGCAGUGGGGAAUCUUGCGCAAUGCGCGAAAGCGUGACGCAGCAACACCGCGUGAGGGAAGACGGCCUUAGGGUUGUAAACCUCUUUCAGAUGGGACGAAGGUGAUGCGGUGAAUAGCCGAUGUCAUUGACGGUACCGUCAGAAGAAGGCUCCGGCUAACUACGUGCCAGCAGCCGCGGUAAU
RNAcentral lists this ribosomal RNA (511 nucleotides) under uncultured bacterium. RNAcentral's name for it is "bacterial SSU rRNA". It matches the Rfam family "Bacterial small subunit ribosomal RNA", at positions 28 to 524 of the family's 1533-position model. The record is from RNAcentral.